RNAcentral lists this ribosomal RNA (612 nucleotides) under Gordonia westfalica. RNAcentral's name for it is "bacterial SSU rRNA". It matches the Rfam family "Bacterial small subunit ribosomal RNA", at positions 71 to 697 of the family's 1533-position model. Lineage: Bacteria; Bacillati; Actinomycetota; Actinomycetes; Mycobacteriales; Gordoniaceae. The record is from RNAcentral.
AGGCCCAGCUUGCUGGGUACUCGAGUGGCGAACGGGUGAGUAACACGUGGGUGAUCUGCCCUGAACUCUGGGAUAAGCCUGGGAAACUGGGUCUAAUACCGGAUAUGACCUUGGAGUGCAUGCUCUGGGGUGGAAAGCUUUUGCGGUUCAGGAUGGGCCCGCGGCCUAUCAGCUUGUUGGUGGGGUAAUGGCCUACCAAGGCGACGACGGGUAGCCGACCUGAGAGGGUGAUCGGCCACACUGGGACUGAGACACGGCCCAGACUCCUACGGGAGGCAGCAGUGGGGAAUAUUGCACAAUGGGCGCAAGCCUGAUGCAGCGACGCCGCGUGAGGGAUGACGGCCUUCGGGUUGUAAACCUCUUUCACCAGGGACGAAGCGUGAGUGACGGUACCUGGAGAAGAAGCACCGGCCAACUACGUGCCAGCAGCCGCGGUAAUACGUAGGGUGCGAGCGUUGUCCGGAAUUACUGGGCGUAAAGAGCUCGUAGGCGGUUUGUCGCGUCGUCUGUGAAAUUCUGCAACUCAAUUGUAGGCGUGCAGGCGAUACGGGCAGACUUGAGUACUACAGGGGAGACUGGAAUUCCUGGUGUAGCGGUGAAAUGCGCAGAUAU